GAUACGAUUACUAAGAAAUUGACUGUUGUUUUAUAUUUCAAGCAAUAAGGGCAAGUUUAUCCUCAGGACUAGUUGUAGCUGAUGGUCGAGCCAAGACUCCCAAACGCGUGGAGUUGACAUAAUCAAGUGGGAAAUGAUUAGUGACGCCAGGGAAUAUUAUUCCCAAAACCCUAACAGACUUCAUUAUCCAAUUCUCUUUGUACUCUUUGCCUUUCCAAAACUGUAUUAUAAAGCUCCUUAUAAACUCCCACGCACCAUUCAACACUUUCGGUAUUAACCACACCAAGCUGAAGUAGUUCGCAUUCGGUGCAUCUUCUUUUACCUUCAAAUUCAUAUAUAAUCAUUUGGUAGUAAAUAAAAAAGUAGAUAUCAUAAAAGAAUUAUAAAACUGCUCAAAAUUAUAAAUUGAAAGAUAUAAAAUUUGAAAUAUAGAUUAUUAUUUGUUAUGUCAAUUUUUCUGUGAAAAGUGACAAUUCUAUAUAAAGGCCAAAAUAAAAGUCUCUUCUUUCCCUUUAAAAUUUUCUACUCUCUUUUGUUUUUCGUGUUUUUUAAAUAAUUUUUUUUUUAAAUAAUCUAGCAAGGCAAACAUAUAAUGGAAUACAUAAUGCUUUAAUUUACCUUUCCUUUGUAGAGACUGUUGAAGUAAAUGCAAGAUCCAUAGUGCUUGAAUGAGAAUAGAGCCUUGUCAUCAAAGGGUAUUCUAGGCACAAUAUCAUUGUUAUAAACAAACCUCUCAUACUGGAUUCCAUGCUUUCUCACCACUUCCUUCAUAAACUCUCCAAACUCCUCAUCCCCUACACGUGGCUGUCCAAAUGUGUAGACUCCCUCUAGCUUCUCUAGCAGCUCAUCCUCACCGUGAAUGGCCAGAACCAUCGGGAAAAGAGCAGCUAGUGCGCCACCGAGGCUGUGACCCGUUAGAAUGAACUUAAGGUUCUUAUCUUUGGCAAGCAUGUCCCUAAGCUUCUGUCUUAUAGUGUAGUAAGCAUAUUGUUGUCCGAGAGGUAAAAUUUCUUUUGGCCAUCCGUUUUUUUGGAGGCCUAGAGCUCUCGAGAAUCCAGCGUGGACUUUGCCAACGUUCUUCAACUCGUACCUAUUUAAAAGUUUGAUAAAUGAUAUAUGAAUUAAGAAGAGUGAUUAUAUUGAUAUCUAUAUAUAUAUAUAUAUCUAUAUGUAUGUAUAACGUAUAUACGCACCAAGAGAUGUCGAGAUCAGUGCACCAAUCAUCAGCGUCGAAAGGAUCGGUUCCUCUAAAGCUAACGACGAUGAGGUUUGGAUUUGUGCUCGACGCCUUGAACACGAAGGCUAGCGUUAGGUUUCUUUCUUGGAACGCUGACCAAAGAUAUAAAAACUUAGAAAUUUAGAUAUCUUUGUUUCAAAUAUUAUUUAGAUUUGUUUCAAUUUAUAUAGUUUCAGACACCUAUAUAAAAUUUAUUUUUAGAAGCAUAUUUGUUGAUGUAAAAAUAAUAAUUUAAAAACAUAGGAACUCAUAAUAUAUAUAUAUAUUUUUGUUUUUUUGUUCUAGAUCGAGAAAUCCACACUAAUCUCAAACAUUGGCUUCAAUCCGAGAAACAAAUCAUUCAUCAUUCUAAUUCAAUACUCUAAAUAGUUUUUUUUUUCAAAUUUCUUAAACAAAAAAAAAUAUUUAUAUCUUUUUUCUUAGACAAUAAAUUUAGAACUGAGCAUUAUAUGCGAAUUGUUGUCAAAACAAGAUCAUUGCUUGAUGAUUAUAUUACCUCCUUAUAUCAUAAUUUUGAUAUUUCAUCGUUUAAUACAAGAAGAUAGUAUACUCAAUUUUUUCCCAAUUAAACCAUCUACUAUCAUGCAGUUUUUGAUUUUAAAAAUCUUGGGUGACUUCUUCUUUUGAGUGAAUGAUUAAAAAUGGUUAAAGAAAAAGGAGAACCAACAUAUUGAAAUUUUAGUUGGGAAAUAAGCAUACGGACGCACCAAAUUUACAUAGAAAUCAUAAACUUAGUUUUAAAAUAAUAUGCUAAAGUAAAGUCUUUUACGCGUGUUUUCUAUAUAUGCAAUCGUAAAAUUUACAAAAGCAAAAAUAUACAACUUAAUGUAUUAAAAAUGUAAAUUUCUUUUUCAAAUCUCUAGCUGAAAUUUAUUAAUUUUAAAAUUCUUUCAGAAUAUAUAGUAUCGCCAUCAAGUGUAAUUGUGAAUGAGACAUAUCUUAAAUAUAAAAAUAUCUAUUCACAUUUAAAUUCUCAUAAAAGUUAGAAUUUGGAAUUAAUUAAAAACUGAAAUAUCUCUAAAAUAUGAUAUGUGUAGUGACUCUCUAAUGUUAGUAACAUUUCUUAUCCUAUACUUUAACAGAAUUCGAACAAAUUAGCAUAGUAAAAUAUAUUUUUCCAUAUUGCAUUAAUAUAUAUUAUUGAUAUUUAAAAUAAUUUAGAUUAUAUUGCCAUAUUUAAAAUGGAAUCUAAAAUUUUUCGAUCAUUAAAACUGAAGACAUUUUACACUCGUUAUUCGUAUUUAGACUUAAUAUUCAUCAAAGUACGCUUCUAUGAUAAACUAUAUCCAUGAGACGACACAUUUAAAAUUAGUAGGGUCCCUUUGCUUAGAUGCAUUUAUUUCCACACGAUAUUGAUUUAGAGUUCUAUUGGCCUUUAUUUUUCAUCUAUUUUUGUCAACGACCUAGUUGGCAUCUAUAUCUCUUUAUAUCAUCAUGAGUGAUCAUGACCUUGUAGACCUAUCUUUGUAGUCAAAAAUGAAAGACAUUUAUAUUUAUUUAUUCACUGGUAAAAACUUCUUCCAUUUUUUAUUACUAUCACCAUUAAUAUGCUCUUUUUUGGAUCAAAUUAUCACUAAUAUGCGUUAUGGUUAUGUUUUUUGUAUUCAUCUUUCAAAAGCUUUAAGACUUUUGAAGCUUUAUUUAUGACUUUUCUUGUAUUGAUCUUUCAAAUUCUUUAUGCACUAAAAUGGGAAAUGAAACACAUUUCCCUAAAAGGAACGAAGCGUAGUAUUUAACUUACCGUUGUAAAAGUCGUAGAAACCCACGAAGUCCAUCUGUAUCACAGGAUGGAUAGUCAUACAGAGAGAGUGUGACAAGUAAAAUAAACACUAAAGAUAUAUAUAUAUAUAUAUAUAUGUAUCUAUAAAGACACGAAAACAAUCUUACUGCUUAUUAAAGAUACAAACCUAAUCAAUUCGUAUCCUAUAGACUAAGCAAAAAUUAUAAUACAUUAGUACAAAAUCAGUGGUCUAUUACAUGUAUAUCUCUUGUGAUCUUUUAGAUUAGUUAGUUAGAUUAUUUUAUAGUAGUGUAAAAUUGUAUGAUCAAUAUCUUUAAAUAACACACAGAAAUGGCUUGAUCUUUUGUGCCUCUUUGAAUCUUAUCUCUGCUUAUAGAGAUCUAGUCAUCUAGUAUAUUAUAGAGUUAAAAUUUAUUAUUAGCAGUCAAACGCCAAAGAUAUACACGAUAAAAAAUUACUAAAAAAUUCCAGUCUUCUAGUAGCUAGUUUUUUCAUUUUUUCAACAAUAAGCAAAAUUAUUUGUAUGAUUAUAUUUAUACAAUAUAACUAAAGAGAGAUGAAAAAACCUUCCAAGUGUUCUUGACGACGGAACUGAUGAAAGAUUUGUUUUCAUAAGCGAUCUUAGAAGCCAUUAUUGACAACAUCGACUUGUAUUCGAUGGUACCAACAUUUAUCUUCUCGUCAAGUUCUACUCUUCGAUCUGUGCAUCCUGUAAAAGAUGUAAAUGCCGCGGACGAUUCCUCAGGCUUCACCAACUUUCCUGUAACAAAUCCAGACUUUGUGUUAGUCCUGUGAAAAAUACUUGAUCAACACCAUCCAGAAAAUGAUCUAAAAUAGUCUUAUCAAUUUUUUCAAAAAGUUUUCCAAACCUAGAUGAUUUUUUUUUUAUCAAACGAAGCUUCAUUAAGUAGUUUAUUUUGAUGUGUGUGCUAUAGCGUCUUACAUAUAUAGUAAUCCUUGUUCUGUCUCAAAUCCGUUUGAAGUGUGAUAAAGUAUCACAUUAGUCAAGUCCAAAAGUCCGUGGGGGUUGUUAUAUAUUUGCUUGUUUGAGAUUUUUAAAAUGGUCCUUGAGAGGUUUGAUUUUCUCGGGAUACUAUAUCAUAUGUAAAAGAAAGGAAACAGCUUCAACCAUCAAGUUCAAGAAUUAAUGUGGUAAUAGAAAUACAUUGAGAUAGUGAAUAAAAGUAUUCUAUCGUUAGAUUUCUUACCUGUCAAAAGAUGAAGUAUCAACUUGAAGAAGCCUCCAUUUGCCGUAAGAAUGUUAGGCCAAUAGGUGAGCAAAGCACCUACGAAUGCAAAGGGUUUUCUUAUGAGUAUUAAUAUCUUUUGAAGCAAAAUGGCAAGGGCAACGAUCAAUCGGCUCGCGAAACUUCUCCGGAUGCUUUUGAGCGUAUCCGGUGGUGAAUCUAUGAAUCGUGUGCUGGUAAAGUUGCGGGAAAACAAAAGGAUAAGGAGAUCAAGAACACUUGCUUUGGUCGGAUCGAGCAGAAAAUAACUACUACAGAAUUUCAUGUCGGUUCCGGACAUUAUCACAAUAUGAAAAGAAGAACAAACUUUGCCCAAAAAUAAGAAGAAAGAAGUGAUUUUGGUUUAUUUGUGAGUCAUACAACCUAGAGCGAGGCUACGUAUUUAUAGUGUUAGUAAUAAUUGAGAUCGUAAUUUUUUAGUUAUUUAUUUAACAAUAUACUGUAGUUUUAAAGACAAUCAUCAAACUAAAAACCCUCGUUAUUCACGUGCAAAAUAAUAUUUCAAAAUGAAACUAUUGGUUGACAUUCUAACCUAAACGACCUUGCAAAUCUCGAGUUCUUUUGUUUUAAUUAACGUGGAAAACCAGGCAUAAAUAUAAUAUGUUUCCUUGUUUCUUACUUUUAAAAACAUAUAUUUAGAUAAGUGAAUUAGUAAUCCCGGAAGUUGGAAAUAUAAUCUUAAACCAAUUCCGUUCAUCUCUCAAAUUUUCAUUUUCUCUUCUUCCACUGUCAUCAUUCCUCAUUUUCUCCAAAGGUUGUAUAUUCCAAUAUAUACUGUAGUGGGUUUACUUUUGAGUCACCAGUUUCAGUAAAGAUUUAUAUAUGUUUUAAUACAGAAAGAUAGUAUAUGCUUUUGAGUCACUCGUUUUACUCUUAUUAUAUUUGUUGUCUUAAGAAUAUUUAAUACUGAAAUAUGACUAAAUUAGAUCUCAGAUCUAUAGACUUUAAAAUUGACAGACUAUAUUAUUUUUUUGGUGAAAACUGUUUUUUUUUUACGAAAAAAAAUUAUAUAAAUAAGAAAUAGAUAUAUUGGUAAAUUUUAUUUAAUUUUGAUGAGAAAUAUAAAUUUUUAUUUAGAUUUUUAUUAUAAUUAAAUGUAUCCUUGACUUUUGGUUUUCAAAUUCAAUAGCUAAAUGCAGAUUUUAAAGUGUUUAAACGAACAAUAUUGGAACAUAAAUUUACAUCUAGAUGUAGCGUUUGGACACAAAACAAACAUAACCUUAGUGAAUUAAUAGUCCAAGAAGUUAAAUAUAUAAUACUAAAUCAAUUAAGUUCAUCUCUCAAAUUUUCGUUUUUUGUUUUCCACAGUCAACAUUUCUCCAAAGUUGGUAUAUUCCAAUAUAUCUUGUAGUGGGUAUGUAUAUGAUGAUAUUCUAUACGGUAAUUAUUUUUUUACUAAAAAGUUAAGGGUUUUGCGGUUAUAGAAAUCAUUUUUUAAUCUCUACUUUGGUCUUGAAAAUAAUUUGAUUUCCAUAUUUUCUGUAAUGGAAUAUGAAGGCGUUGUCAGACUUAUAUAUUCGACUACGCAUUGAAAGAUCUUUCCCGUCGUGAUGCAUGUUCCGCUCCCUUCAAACAUGAUAGGAAGGUUGAUCCCACCAAAUGGUGAAGGAAACACCGACAAGACCUCAGGUUGUGCAUCUCCAGCUUAGUUCGAUAAAGAGGCAUUAUGAAAACAAGAUGAUUAUGGUUGUGGAUGCUAACAUCCGUUAUUCUAAAUGGGUAUUCAGGAGUACGUUGAAUAAUGAGUUCAAUGCUAAGUUUCUUUUGGUAAUCUCCGGAAAUUAGGCUGGACAAAGUCUAAUAACAUUCAAAGAUGAUGGAAUAUAUUUCUAUUUAAGGUUUAUAGAUAACAUGGGUCAAUUUUGGAUUUAUUUGAUUGUGGUUUAUACAACGUAAUAUUUGGAUAAAUGUGGAUCUUAAUCUAAAAUCUAUUUAUACAGAUCAUUAUUAUACGAUAAUUAAUAUUAAACAUCUAAAUAUUAUUUACUUGCAUAAGGCAUGCAUAUCCUAAUAUUAAGAGAACACGUUUGUUUUUUUAAUAACCUUUUAUUUAAUAAUAUCAAUGUGGUAAAAUCAAAAUAAGGGUUUCCAUAUUAUGACAUAUAUGACUGAUUGGUAUAUGUUACACUAUAACGAAAGCAAUAAGUUGAUAAAUUAGAAUCAAAGUUGUCAUAUAUCAAAUUGAUUAUAUCUAUCAGAUAGACUUAAAAAAAGAUAUAAUUUAAUUUUUGUGUUUCAAUGUUUGGUAUGUGAAUUAGGUGGUCCGAGUCAAUGUAACUUGGUUGGGCUUUCUUUGGUGAAAAUAUAUAUGAAAAUUAACUAUUUUGAUACCAAAUGACAGGUCUCAAUCAAAACAAAUGAUCAGAAUUGCAAGUAUCAUUUUUGGAAAGAAAGUCUUUUUGCCUUUAUUUGUUUUGUUCCCGUCUUUAUGUAAAUAAAUUAUAACCUUUUGAUCCUUACAAAUAGAAGACAACAACUGAAGUGGGAAUAAACAACUGGGUAUUUUUCUCUCUCUCUUUUUAAGCAAAUAAGGGAAAUAAAAAACAAGUACCAAAUGAAAUCAUCCAUUAUUUAGUCUGAAGACUUAGUACAUAUAUCGAGAAUUGGGUUUCCUCAACAAGCCUUGGUCUUUCUUCUGCAUAACUUGAGUGUGACUGCUCUUCAUAUCAUUACAUAUUGAAUGGAUUUGAAUUUAUUUCAAGCAAUGAGGGCAAGUUUAUCAUCAGGAGGAGUAGUAGUAACAGGUCGAGCCAAGCCUCCCAAACGCGUGGAGUUGACAUAAUCACGUGGGAAAUGGUCAGAUGCACCAGGGACUAGUAUUCCCACAAUCCUCAUAGACCUCAUCGUCCAGUUCUCUUUGUACUCACUGCCUUUCCAAAACUGUAUUAUGAAAC
Molecule: long non-coding RNA, 7119 nt
Filed under: Eutrema salsugineum
Lineage: Eukaryota; Viridiplantae; Streptophyta; Magnoliopsida; Brassicales; Brassicaceae
Description: long non-coding RNA (ESAL_LNC000374)
Source: RNAcentral